CUACGGCGGGCUAAUCAUGCAGUCGAGCGCGGCAUGCACGAUGAUGCUCUUCGAAACUGACGCUUGGGGAACGAACGAAUGCUUGGUGAGUGCAUUGGGGUGACCUGCCUGUAUUACUGGCAAAACCCCGGGAAACCGGGUCUCUUCCCGGAUAAUAGUUUUCAUCACCUGAUGGUUAGUUGAGAGGUGGCUUCUUGCUACCACUUACAGAGGGGCCCGCUGCCCAUUAGCUAGUUGGUGAGGUGACGGGUCAGCAAGGCAACGAUGCGUGGACGACCUGAGAGGGUGAUCGGCCACACUGGGACUGAGACGCGGACCAUACUCCUACGGGAGGCAGCAGAAGGGAAUCUUCCGCAAUGGACGAAAGUCUGAUGGAGCUGCGCCGCGUGUUUGAUGAAGGUUUUCGGAUCGUAAAGCUCUGUUGGUAGGGAAGAACAAGUGCCGUUCAAAAAGGGCGGCACCUUGCCGGGACCUAACCAGAAAGCCCCGGCUAACUACGUGCCAACAGCCGCGUUAAUACGUAAGGGGCAAGCGUUGUCCGGAAUUAUUGGGCGUAAAGAGCGCGCAGGCGGACCUUUGAGACUGAUGUGAAAACCCACGGCUUAACCGUGGAGGGUCAUUGGAAACUGUUGGAGUUGAGUACAGAAGAGGAGAGUGGAAUUCCAGGAGUACCGAUGACAUGCGUAGAGAUGUGGAGGAACACCACUGUCGAAGGCGACUCUCUGGUCUGUAACUGACGCUGAGGCGCGAAGGCGUGCAGAGCGAACAGGAUUAGAUAUCCUGGUAGUCCACUUCGGAAACGAUGAGUGCUAGGUGUUAGGUGGGUUUCCGCCCCUUAGUGCUGAAGUUAACGCGUUAAACACUCCGCCUAGGGAGUACGGCCCGCAAGCUGAGACUCAAAAGGAUUUGACAGUCGCUCGCACGAGCAGAUAGCAGUCAUCGUGGUUUUAAUUCUACGCAACAGCUUAGUAACCAGUACCAUUGUCGUUGCACUAUCGUGCAUGCUAUCAGAAGAGAUACCGAGGUUCCCUUCCGAGGACAGAGUGACAGGAUGUUGCAUGAAUGUCGUCAACUCAGUGUCAUCGCACAUGUCGUGAUAGUCCCGCAUCCGAGUCGCGAAUCUGAUCGUGACUGCCAGGUCCAUUAGCUGAGCACACUCUGAGGGUGAACUAUG
RNAcentral lists this ribosomal RNA (1174 nucleotides) under Virgibacillus halodenitrificans. RNAcentral's name for it is "bacterial SSU rRNA". It matches the Rfam family "Bacterial small subunit ribosomal RNA", at positions 36 to 1157 of the family's 1533-position model. Lineage: Bacteria; Bacillati; Bacillota; Bacilli; Caryophanales; Bacillaceae. The record is from RNAcentral.